RNAcentral lists this transfer RNA (73 nucleotides) under Pteridomonas sp. YPF1301. RNAcentral describes it as "tRNA-Ala". It matches the Rfam family "tRNA". Rfam says of the family: Transfer RNA (tRNA) molecules are approximately 80 nucleotides in length. Their secondary structure includes four short double-helical elements and three loops (D, anti-codon, and T loops). Lineage: Eukaryota; Dictyochophyceae; Pedinellales. The record is from RNAcentral.
GGGAAUAUAACUCAAUAGGUAGAGUAAUGGCUUUGCAAGUCAAAUGUUAGCAGUUCAAAUCUGCUUAUUUCCA